This 414-nucleotide ribosomal RNA is filed under the name uncultured eukaryote. RNAcentral describes it as "SSU rRNA". It matches the Rfam family "Eukaryotic small subunit ribosomal RNA", at positions 592 to 1013 of the family's 1831-position model. The record is from RNAcentral.
CAAUAGCGUAUAUUAAAGUUGUUGCGGUUAAAAGCUCGUAGUUGGAUUUCUGUUGAGGGCGACCGGUGUACACUUCGUGUAUUAUUUGGUUCGGUCUCGGCAUCCUCUUGGGGAACGUUUCUGGACUUUAUUGGACAGGGCGGAAUUCAAGACUUUUACUUUGAGGAAAUUAGAGUGUUCACGGCAGGCAAGCGCUUUGAAUACAUUAGCAUGGAAUAAUAAUAUAGGACCUUCGUUCUAUUUUGUUGGUUUCUAGAACUUGGGUAAUGAUUAAUAGGGACAAUUGGGGGCAUUCGUAUUAACGCGUCAGAGGUGGAAUUCUUAGAUUGCGUUACGACGAACUACUGCGAAAGCAUUUGCCAAGGAUGUUUUCAUUGAUCAAGAACGAAAGUAUGGGAUCGAAGACGAUCAGAU